CAAUAGCGUAUAUUAAAGUUGUUGCAGUUAAAAAGCUCGUAGUUGGAUAUCUGGUUCGGAUGCCUGGCCCGCCUUCUCUGAAGUGUGUGUGCCGGUGCAACCGUUCCAUCCUUCCGAGGAGCAGAACCUUUACUGGUUUAGCGACUUGGAUCUUUUACUUUGAAAAAAUUAGAGUGUUCAAAGCAGGCGUUUGCUUGAAUACAUUAGCAUGGAAUAAUGAAAUAGGACUCCGGUUCUAUUUUGUUGGUUUUAGGAACCAGAGUAAUGAUUGAAAGGGACAGUUGGGGGUGCUUGUAUUGGGCGGCCAGAGGUGAAAUUCUUGGAUUCGCUCAAGACAAACUUAUGCGAAAGCAUUCACCAAGGAUGUCUUCUUUAA
Molecule: ribosomal RNA, 376 nt
Filed under: uncultured eukaryote
Lineage: Eukaryota
Description: partial 18S ribosomal RNA
Rfam family: Eukaryotic small subunit ribosomal RNA
Source: RNAcentral